CUUUCCAAACUCUUAGUUUAACAGAGAAGCCACAUAGAGAUGAUCAGAGCAUUCACUGAGAAAAGUCUGGUCCUACAGGCUCCCAAACGAAGCAAAUGAAAAUUACAUCAGAAAAUUCAGUAUCUGGCCUCCAAAGAGAAAUUAUGUGUGUCCCUGGACUAUGUUCAACAUGUGGUAUGACUAGAGCUUUGGUUGUUUCCUUUUAUCCUGGAAAUUGUAAGCAAAGUGGAGAGACACGAAUUCAAGUUCUAGAUACGUUCAAACCCCUGCAGUACCAGUUGUAUUGGGAAGAGGCAAGUGAGAUCUUGGGCAUGGUGAAUAGGCCUAAAAUCUGAAUCACUCAUAUGUUACAAAAAGAAGCAUGGAGAACAUGGAGAAAAAAGUUCUUGGCACGUUGAUUUAUGAACUUGUUUAAUACUGGACAUGUGGAAAAUCAUCACCAGUAAAUCACAUCCCCACUACUAACGCC
RNAcentral lists this long non-coding RNA (469 nucleotides) under Cyanistes caeruleus (blue tit). RNAcentral describes it as "lncRNA (ENSCCEG00000009659.1)". The record is from RNAcentral. Lineage: Eukaryota; Metazoa; Chordata; Aves; Passeriformes; Paridae.